Molecule: RNA transcript, 6609 nt
Organism: Callithrix jacchus (white-tufted-ear marmoset)
Lineage: Eukaryota; Metazoa; Chordata; Mammalia; Primates; Cebidae
Gene: ZNF454
Gene name: zinc finger protein 454
Source: RefSeq, a predicted model, not a curated record
CGGUGGCACUGUCUCCGCCGAUUCUCCCUGUGGCAGGCCCAACUGCCGCAGCUCUGAGACUUGUGGGAAUUCGGCCCAACGGUUCCCAGGGCAACGCGCAAGCGCAGUUCAGUUCCCAGCUGUAGCCUCCAGUUCAUUGUGUUCUGACUGCGAUGUGGCGCUUGCGAUCUUUCGCCGCGGGCAGAGGCUCCUGGAAGAGCGACACGGGGGUGACCAGGCACGGUGGUCAAAGACGCAGAGGGAGAGCGGUAGUGGUCCUGAGGUGGUCUGGGGAGAAGGGCGGAGGGAAAGCCGAGGAGGUGCGGGUCGUGGUCCAUUCUGGAGGACGCUGAUGGAAUGCCCCAAACUUCCUGGAAUGUAUGUUUGAGAUUUGAUCCCAAACAGGAGGAGGGAGGACAGCCAGGGGUGGUCAUCCUGGGCUUAGGGUCGAGUCUGUGAGUGCCUGUGGAGGAGAUGGGGCCAGGGCCUCUGGCUUGUGUCUUGGAGCGGACUCCGAGAAGCCCAAGGAUUCCGCUCAGGUGAUAGAUACACGCCUGGCGUGGUUCCGAGUCCUGCUCCAGGAACUUGCCAAGGCCGGAGGCAGCCGCUGCGCGGCCCCUGCAGCAGCCCCGGGGGGACCUGGUGAAGCGGCAAGGGCUGAAGGGAGUUGCGUGAAUAGGGUUCCUACCCUUCCCUGUCCUUACCCCGGCAAGGCACACAAACGCAGCUUCUGUCCACCUGUGACUCCAGGCCACCCAAACUGGGCCCCAGAGAGUGAGAACCCUGAAGCCAGAGAAGGGCUUGGCUGAAAGGCUUCGACAGUGAAGAGCCAGCCUUCUUAGCCUCCUUAGCCUCCUUUUUGAGGAGAGAGAAGAUUACCUUCCUUUCCCUCUUCUCCCAUCACUCCCAGAUUAGGCAGCUGUUCCAAAGCUGCAGAGGGAGAGGGAGAAGGAGAGCGGGAGCCAUCUUCCAGUCCAAUCCAAUUCAGACAUCGCCCUCAGUUGCCUCUCCCCAGCGCCCCCACCUUUUCUGGUACAUCCUGGUGAGUUCUGGAGCUGAAUCUUGUUAAAGAGACAAUUCUCGGCCGGGCGCGGUGGCUCACACCUGUAAUCUCAGCACUUUGGAAGCUGAGGAGGACGGAACACCUGAGGUGUAUAGACCCUUCUAGCCUGAGGAGUCCUAAGAGUGCAAAGCUCCACACCUGCCUCCAUAGCACUUUGCCUGUCCCUAAGAGGGCUCAUCAGAGAAGAAAGAAUGGCCCUCAGCCACCUGCCAACCAUGGUCCAGGAAUCGGUGACCUUCAAGGAUGUGGCUGUGCUCUUCACUCAGGAAGAGUGGGGGCAGCUGAGCCCAGCCCAGAGGGCCUUGUACAGGGACGUGAUGCUGGAGAACUACAGCAACCUGGUCUCACUGGGACUCUUAGGACCCAAAUCAGAUAUAUUUUCCCAGCUGGAAAAAAGGGAAGAGUGGAUGCCAGAGGACCCCUCUGGAGGCUUCUGUCUUGACUGGAUGACUAUGCCUGUCUGUAAGAAGUCUACUCUCAAGGCAGAGAUUCCUGAAGAAGAAUUGGACCAAUGGACAAUAAAGGAAAGAUUGGGUAGCAGUAGUUACUGGAAAUGUGCUAGUCUGUUGGAGUGGCAAUGUGGAGGCCAGGGGAUCAGUCUGCAGCGAGCAGCACUCCCUCACCUGAACACCCCAUCUGGGAUUGGUGAACAGGAAUGUGAUGAUUCUGGGAGCACUGUGAGCUCAUCUCUUCAUAGUGCUCGAAGCCAGGGACUUCAACCCAGCAAAAAAGCCUUUGAGUGUAGUGAGUGUGGAAAAGGCUUCUCUAAGAGUUCAACUCUUAAUAAACAUCAGAAAAUUCAUACUGCAAAAACAAGUCAGAAAAUUCAUAUUAAAGAGAAAAGAUAUGAAUGUAGAGAAUGUGGGAAAGCCUUUCACCAGAGUACGCACCUUAUCCAUCACCAAAGAAUUCACACUGGUGAGAAACCCUAUGAAUGUAAGGAAUGUGGCAAGGCCUUCUCAGUGAGCUCCUCACUUACCUACCAUCAGAAAAUUCAUACCGGAGAGAAGCCUUUUGAAUGCAACUUAUGUGGAAAAGCUUUUAUCCGAAAUAUACACCUUGCCCAUCAUCAUAGAAUACAUACUGGAGAGAAGCCUUUUAAAUGUAACAUUUGUGAAAAAGCCUUUGUGUGCAGGGCACAUCUUACCAAACACCAGAAUAUCCACAGUGGAGAGAAACCCUAUAAAUGUAAUGAAUGUGGGAAAGCCUUUAAUCAGAGUACAAGUUUUCUUCAGCAUCAGAGAAUUCACACUGGAGAGAAACCCUUUGAAUGUAACCAAUGUGGGAAGGCCUUCAGGGUGAACUCUUCCCUUACUGAACAUCAGAGAAUUCACACUGGAGAGAAACCUUAUAAAUGUAAUGAAUGUGGAAAAGCUUUCAGGGAUAAUUCAUCCUUUGCGCGACAUCGGAAAAUUCACACUGGAGAGAAACCUUACAGAUGUGGUUUGUGUGAGAAAGCCUUCAGGGACCAAUCAGCACUUGCCCAACAUCAGAGAAUUCAUACUGGGGAAAAACCUUAUACAUGUAAUAUAUGUGAAAAAGCCUUCAGUGACCAUUCAGCCCUUACCCAACAUAAGAGAAUUCAUACUAGAGAAAAACCUUACAAAUGUAAAAUCUGUGGGAAAGCCUUUAUCCGAAGCACCCACCUUACUCAGCAUCAGAGGAUUCACACAGGAGAGAAACCCUAUAAAUGUAAUAAAUGUGGGAAAGCUUUUAACCAGACUGCAAACCUCAUUCAGCAUCAGAGACAUCAUAUUGGAGAAAAGUGAUAUGAAUGUUGAAUGUAGUUUGUAUGGAAGACCUUUGAGACUGAGUAAAUUAAUUAUUGAAUAUAAGAAAAUCCAUUCUAGAGAAUAACUAUGAAAGCUUGCAUCAAGAUAGUCACUUUAUUUACUAAGGGUCAAGGUUCAUAGUGUCACGGGGUUUGGGCAUUUAAGAAUGGCAAACACUCCUCAUUCUUAAAUACUGCCUCAAGUAGCAGUACUGUUUCAUUAGUCUGAAUUGCCAACUAUCAGAACCAAAAUGGAGCUUCAUUAACAAUUAACAGCAUUAAAAUUGGUUUAUCAAAUUACAUCUUGACUAUUAGAGAAACUGUGAAAUUAUAAAAAUUUGAGAAGCAAAAGAACAAAAAGUCAAAAUGGGCUACAAGGGUUUCACUCUACUAGAUUAUCUUACAUAAGAGAGUUGAGUUGCCACCUUUAAUGGAACCCUUAGUCCUCUUCACCCAAACCACUGACACCCAAUAUAAAGAAAGUGCAGUCACCAUGUGUCACCCAUAAUUGUUUACAUUAUGCUUCCUACCUUCUGCUUCAAACCAUCCAUUUUCAGAUACCUCUGGUCUGCCUGUCCACUGGCUUCAUCCCUGUAGAAUCCCUGUGAGAUUAUUUUCCCCAAAUGACCCUCUUCUUAGCAACUCCUAACUGUCUGCGUGGUGUCACCUAUCACUGCCCCAUAUGGGGAGUAUGGUGAUCUGGUCUCAGACACAGUCCAUGAUUCUGAAUAUCACACCCAAAUAUAGCUUUCAGAACUUAGAAUCUCUGUCUGGAAGGCAAAACUUGAUCAAAAUUCUUGAGUUACGGAUUUCCACUGGGCCUCAGCUUGACUGACCCUGGGAUGGUACCUGAAGUAGGGGCUUUGCCUGUGCCACAUUUACCCUCCAGUUGUUCUGUAGUAUACUUAGUGACUCUACACAUCAGUCAGGGACUUGCUCAGCUUCUGGUGCAAUGAUUCCACCCACUUAAGUUGUAGUAUUCCCAACCACCUCCAUUUGUCAUUUCCCAUUUCCCUGUGUGCAAUCGAUAUAAGAGGCGAAAGCCCCAAGGCCAGUUCUCAGAAUGCUCUGACCCACUCUUUUCUCCCUCAUUGAACAGUCCACUGUAUCUACUGCAUUAGAGUACAUUUACUACUCUCAGCAUAAACUGCUGCAUCCUAGUCCUUUCCCUGUUUUUUUUCUAGGUUUCUGGAGGUAUUAAUUCUAUAUUCAUAGGAAAGCAGACAGCUUUGAAUUUCAGCUUUUGCAUUUGGAAGUGGUCAUUUCCUCUCCUCCAUCUAGGGCUUUCACUAUUUAAGGACUCAUGCUGACAGUGGUGAGAAAAAUGUUGAGUAAUCCCAUGAGUCAAGAAGUGGUCAGUAGCACCAUUGACAUUCCCUGGCAAGGGCCAUGUACUUGUUCAAAAGUCUGGUACAGUAGUCCGGGAGGUAGGGUUCCUUCACCAUCUUUAAUCCUUCAUUGCUUUCAGUAGAAAUAACACAGAUAAAAUAACAUCUGUGCUCCUUCACACACACAGCCUCUGGGGCCCUCACCCUUUCCCUACCACAAGGAAUGGAGGAGCCUGUACUACCGCAAGGUGGAACAUACCAUGCAAUGAAGAUGGGAGGCCAAGCAAAUUACUCUGCAAAGUGAAGUGGCAAGUUCCUGGUUUGUGGAAGUGCUGUCUGUCAAGUCGAGCAAUGUGGACCCCUCAGAAUGCAGCACCUCACCCCAUGUUACAGAAGAGGAUAUUUUAUAUCAUGGUAGAACUCAGUGGGCUCUGGGUUGCAACAUAGACUUGGAAGCUUCCAGCAGCUUCAAAGUCCAGAUAAUCUAAAUUCAGUCUUCAUCUAAUAAAGGCCACCUUUGUGAGCCAGCAUCUCCUGUUAGGUGAUCAGCAACUCAGACUUUCUCCCAUAUUAAGCUGCAUGUGAAGCACUGUUUCAAGAGGUUUCUUGGGAUUGUCUGUGUCCCAUAUCCACAGAAGUUCAUCUGCAGCUUCACAUGGCUGACACCCUGAGAUUCCAGAGUAAAUCUGAAAAAAUCAUGUUCACUGCCACAGAUGUCUGCCUUCAUCCCUAUCCAUGUGAUGUGCUAGGUCUUAACUACCAUCCCCUUACCUUGAAUCCCUGAGAAGCACGUUUCUAAGCUGAGUUGGUUGGUUUUUUUAUUUGUAAUCAAUGCAUGAGAACUACCACUACUUGGAAUGUGCCUACAGUUAAGCCAGGGCCAAGGCCUGCACCCAGCUCAAGAGUCUCAUUCAUCUCAACCACAGCUCCAGGAACUGUGCCUCUAGUGUGUAAGUGCAGCCUGAAGCCCCUCCAUCUGAGAUGACGGUGCACUCUCCCUGAGUUCAUCUUUUGUCAGGCUUGGGUUCUCAUGGAUUUAGUCCUCCGAGGUGCCUGUUCACUUAUCCCAGUCUGGGAAGGCAAAAAGUAAGUCACUGGCUUAUGAGAUAUGCCCAGGCUGACUUGAAUAUAUUUAUGGUACUAGUAUUUGGCCAGGCAGUGGCUUUACUCUAUUUUACUGUAGGAGUACAAGCUUGCUACAUGGCCUUCUUAAUUAGGAGAGUGUGCAUUGCUUGGGUCUUAGUCCUUUUUCUCAUGUGGAUUAUAUGGCUCUCUACCUGGGCAUUUUAACCUGCCCCAGCUGAACCCCUAAAAGUAAAUUUCUGAGGACCCUGCAGUAAGACUUCUUCAGCCACAAUCUUUUCUGCCAGCUGAUCUGUGCAGUAUUUGACAUCUCAGCAGUUACCGAGAGGAAGUUUUCUGUACCCCACCUUCAGCUGGGUUAAUCCCCAAACACCCAGUGUUUCCUAGAAAGAGCAGUUCAUUCUGUACCUUGCUUUUCUAGUCCUAAUGGCCAUAUAGACAUAAACAACUGUGACAAGAUGAAGGACCACGAUUUGGGACUCUUCAGGGACAGAUUUGGCCACCCGGUAAUGUGCCGCCUUCAGCAGCUCCGUCUUUACACAUCCAGCCUGCCUUUGCUUCAUGUAGUGCACAAAACUGCUCUGGCAUACCACGACCAUGAACUUCACGUGAAGCCAGUCUCCCCGCCCCUCACUUGGGCCAUAGCAAAAGAUUCCUCUGCCCGUCUCCUGCCGGGUGCCCCUCAUCUCCAGCUGACUGAUUUGUCAUCUGGGUUCUUUCUUCCUGCCUGCCUGUUUGUCCAGCUUUGACAGUAGCCUCUAAGACGUUACCUUUGUCCAUAUUCAUAUUCACUGACUGCUUCCAGGACAGCACUUUGUCCCUGCAACAGACUCAGGCUUCCAGGUUACUGUGCCUGAGCCUCAGAGUCGUGGAACAAAGUUGCUUUGAACUGAAUGCUUUUUGUGGAGAAAACAAUGUAAUUCAGAAUUAAUCCAAGAACACCAUAGCUUCUCCCUGUCUGAUUCCUCUCCUUUUCUUCCUGUUCCUUUGCACUUUGCCCCACCCUUCCCCUAUAGCCUGGCUCAGUUGGCAGUACACCAUGGAGACACCAGUCUCUCACCCUCUUCUGUCUUGCAGCUGGAGGGCUCCCCACUUUUUGGCCCACCUCAACUCCUGCUAAAUAUAUCUUUGGCAAUUUAAAUAUUUUUAUAACAGUUUGUGAAAGGAAAAGAAUUCAAGGCUUGGUUGAUUCUGAUCACUCAAGGACCUCUUGGUGGUGCUGACAGUCAUCCUCUGCAGGUGCCAGCACUGGGUGGCACUGACACUUCCUUUGUGUUCCAUGUGCCACCCUCUGUACCCACGUCACUAUCCUUAAAAAAAUGUUGACAGUAAUUCUUCAUCGGUGUGUCUUUCUGAAAAUAAAGUAAGUCCCCAGUUUUCUAAGA